CUCUCAGUUUCAAUACUGGACAUGCCAGAUGGUACUAAUUUGAACACAUCAUUCCAUGCUUCCUGGAGUAAUCACACAGCUUGCUUAGAUUUUCUAAACAUGACUGAACUGUGAUGAAGCGAUCAACAUUAACUGCCAAGACUCCACAUAGCAAUGAUGUGCUGGCCACCCACUGGGAAAACACCUGUCACCCCUUGAUGGACCUUUCUGACACUGUUUGCCUGUCCUCAAAAGUUCCUGAAAUAUUUACCAGUCAGCAUCUUGGAAAAAACAAAUAAUGGGGCCUUCUCAGAGUGAGGAAGCUUCCUGGAGGGUCAUCAGGACACUACAGAAGAGCUAAUCCAACAUGGAUCUCUAAAACUAUGCAAUUAAGACGAGUGUGGUGGCUCACACCUGUAAUGCCGGCACUUCGGGAGACCAAGGCGGUUGGAUCACUUGAGACCAGGAGUUUAAGGUCAGCCUGGGCAACAUGGCAAAACCCUGUCUCCACUAAAAAUAAAAAAAUUAGCCCUGCGUGGUGGGCAGACCUGUGGUCCCAGCUUUCAGGAGGCUGAGGCACGAGAAUUGCUUGAGCUCAGGAGGCGGAGGCUGAAGUGAGCCAAUAUCGGCAACUGCACUCCAGCCUGGGCAACAGAGCAAGACUGUGUCUCAAAAAAAUAAAUAAAAUAAAAUAAAUAAAAUAAAAUAAAGCUAUGCUAUUAGCUCAAGUAAUCUAAUUGCAUUACAUCAAUUUUAAAAAUUAUUUUCAAAAAUGUAUUUCAAUGUUAUCUGCUACCUUGCAUCACUACCUUCUUGCCCUGAUUUUCACAGCAAAAUCUUGUACAUAAGUAUCUACCAACUGUAAAAAAAAAGCCUCAGAUUAUGUUCCAUAGAUAAUGCAGAAUCAAGGCAAUUACCUGGAAAUGGAUAUCAAAAAUAAAUUUUUAUCUCAAAUAGAUAUUUUAGUAAAAAGAAGCUUGUUGUUAUAAAUUAUGUUAAUAAAAACAUAGUAGUUCACUUCAGUUUGCAUAUAUAUAGUUUCAACAUCUAGCUUGGUUUACUCCCAAGAGACAAAAUUAAGCUAAAAAAAUUUUUUUCAGAUGCCUCAUCUGUUUAGGGUUUAUUUUUCUUUUGCAGUUUAGGAUUGUGGCUGAUAUUUUAAUAAAUAAGUUAGAAAAAUAGGGUAGCAUGAAUAUUAAUUAAAACAAUUCAGAAUAUAUCAAAUAUGUAAGAGGUUAUUUGCUAUAAAACUGAUAACUAAAAGAAAGAGAAAGGAGACAGAAUUGAACUGUCACCAAGGCUCGAACUCCAUUUUCCUAGUAGCUGUUACCGAAUUGCAGAUAACACAUAAAUCUCUGUGCUGAAGUGUGAGCUCUCUAAUCAAAGGAGCAAUCUUCUGAGCAAUCCUGAAGCUCAAAGUGUUCACUCCCUUUGAGCAAACCCUGUGUAGGAAAUUCGUAUGUAGGAAAUUCAUUUUUGACACUGCUAUAAUAAGUUGUUACUCUUGCUUUCAGCUGGCUUAGUUUUAAAAUCUGUUUUAUUCUUAUUAGCUUAAAAAUAUUAUAAUUAUUAUGUGUUCCAUUAUGUUUUAUUUUCAUUUAUAAAAAAGCAUAUGUUCUAUAUCCUGAUUUUUUUCUCUUAUCAUGUUAACACCAAUGAUCUAUAUCAUAAUGUUUUUGUAGUUGCAUAAUUUGGAUAUAUCAUAGUUAUUUAGUCAUUCUAUGAGUUAACUUUCAGGCUUUUUCUCUUUUUUAUUUCUUUAGCUAUUAUUAACAAUGAUGCCAUAGUUAUCCUUAAAGAAGUAUCUUUUCAUAAUAGUACUUUUAUUUCUACAUAUUAAAUUGUGAUUCCUUUUAAACUUCUUUAAAUUUAAAUAUAUAUAUUUUUUAGCGACAAGGUCUUGUUAUGUUGCCUAGGCUGGACUUGAAUCCUGGGCUCAAGGUAACCUACCACCUUAGCCUUCCUUCAGAGUAGCUGGUACUACAGGCAUGCAACCCUACACCAGGAUACAAAUUGUGUGUUUCUUGAGUCAAAUGGUUUGAAUGCUUUUUAAAAUUUUAAGAUUACUACUCCAAAAUGAUUACUGUAUCAAAUUUUAAGUUAUAAUAAUUAUAAUUAUUUAGAAUCAUACCACCAAUGUGUGAGAGUACCCAUUUUGACAAACUCACAUAAAUCUCUGGAUAUUAUAAAUAUAGUUAGAUUUUAGUAGAUUUUUAGUUAGAUUUUAGUUAGCCAUUCCUGGCUGUGAGUGAGACAGAAUGUCUUCUUACAUGUUUGUUCGUCAUUUGUGAUCCAUUAAAAC
RNAcentral lists this long non-coding RNA (2281 nucleotides) under Homo sapiens (human). Its description in RNAcentral is "HSALNT0369398". The record is from RNAcentral. Lineage: Eukaryota; Metazoa; Chordata; Mammalia; Primates; Hominidae.